This 2463-nucleotide long non-coding RNA is filed under the name Sus scrofa (pig). RNAcentral's name for it is "lncRNA (ENSSSCG00050024759.1)". The record is from RNAcentral. Lineage: Eukaryota; Metazoa; Chordata; Mammalia; Artiodactyla; Suidae.
AGGUUUAAAGGACGUGACUGUGAGAAAGGAAGCUCUAUCUUGGAUUCUGAAAAAUUGUGCAGAGAGACAGGAUCUUUAUUAUCAGCUACAUCACCUGCUACCUGCUUGGCCAGACUGGAAAUUUUAAAGUCAACUCUCCUCAAUCCCAGCACCCCGCAACAAAGAGAAAAUGGCAACAGACACUUACUCCAGCUGAUGCAAUUUCUGUAGACUCCCUGACAUUUAUUCCUCAAGCUUUGCUGCCCAGCCACCCCUUAUCUUACCCUCCCCGCUACCAGUGUAUCUCCUUCCAGUCUGUUCCUCCCAGUCAUUCAUCAGAGGGGCACCCGGGUACAAUAAGCAUCAUUAUACAUUUUUUUAAAUAAAUAUUUUAUGACAUUAAUUUAUUGUGAGCUUUUAGUUUUUGAAUUUUUCUCCCCAAAUAAUACAUGCAUGCCCAAUCCAGAACAUUUUGAAGUAGGUUUAAUCAAAAUGAAAUUCAAAGUAUCAGUAAUUAAUGCAACCUGAAAGUGCUAACUAUAAUAUUUUUGCUUAUACUUCCAGGUUUAUAAUAUUAUAAGUAAUAUUACUAUGUCAGUAAGAAGACAUUCAUCAUAUUUAACAAAACAUGAGGUGACUUGUAAUUGGUUUUACCCACUUAGUAUUUUGUGAACAUCUUUCUUUCUUAUACAUGUAUUUCAGUAACAUUUUUAUUCAAAAAUAAUUUUAGAAAUGUAAGUACUCCCUGGUCAAGUUAUAUGCAUAUUUUUAAUCCUUCAGGUAUGUAUUGCCUAAUCACCUUGAGAACAUUUAUAUCAAUCUAUGUCAACUGGAAUUAUUUGAGAGUGCCCCUUCUUGGACCCUUAGCCAACACUGAGAAUUGUAAUAAAAAAUAAAUACAUCCGUAAAUAUAAAUAAAUGAAUAAAAACUAUACUUACUUUGAUGGGAACAAAAUGGAGCUUCGUUAUAAUGUCAUGCUAAUUUCCACUAACAAUUACCAAUGAGCUUUAAUUUUUUUAUUACAUUUGUCUCUUGUAUUAUUUAUAGUUUCUUAAUUGUGAUUUGUUUACUCAAAAUAUUUGCAUUUUUUUUUUUUUUUUUUUUUUUUUUUGUCUUUUUAGGGCCACACCCAUGGCAUAUGGAGAUUCUCAGGCUAGGGGUCGAAUCGGAACUAUAACUGCUGGCCUGCACCAUAGCCACAGCAAUGCCAGAUCCGAGCCGUGUCUGCGACCUACACCACAGCUCACAGCAAUGCCAGAUCCUUAACCCACUGUGCAAGGCCAGGAAUCACACCUGCAGCCUCAUGGACGCUAGUCAGAAUUGUUUCCGCUGAGCCAUGAUGGGAACUCCUAUUUGGCCAUAUUGUUUUGAAAUUAUUUUUACUUUAUUCUCUAUUUGAGUGAUAUAUACUCUUAAUAUAUAUUGGAUUUGAGAUACAUAUAUUCUUAAUGUAUAUUAAGAAUAAUAACUCCCCUCUCUGCCACAUAUGCCAAAUAUUUUUUUUUCCUAUGUCAAAUCCCUGAGUCUUUCUUUCUCUUAUGGUUUAUGACUUCCUAACAAAGAUCUUUCCCACUUCCUAAUUAUUCAAAUAUGUCUCUGUAGUUUUGCCUAGUAUGUUUAUGGUUGCAUUUUUCAUAUUUAAAUUUUAAUCUUUCUUAAAUCAUUUUGGAUGAGAAUAAAAGAUCCAUUAUACAAUUUUGACUGUUUCUAAGACAUCUAGUCUGUUUUAUUGUUCUGUUUAUUUCUUGUUACAGCAUACAUUAUAACAUUAAGAUGAAUUUUCAGUGUCUAAUUGUGUAUACCACUAAAAAAUUAUGUGGUUGUUUUCGCUUCUCCAUAUGAAACUUAGACUUAUUUGUUAAAUUCCAAUAUAAAUUCUAGUGGAAUUUUCAGUUCCACUAGAAAUCAUCCUUUGCAGUAUGAUUUUUAAUCAAUAGUAGCAUUUGUAUCUCUCUGUAUUAAAGUCUUUUUUUCUGUCCUUUAGUGAAAAUAUUGUACUUUCAUUCAUAUAAACACUUACUGAUAUUUUCUGGCUGUUUGCAUUUUAUCCUUGUCUCAGGUCUAAGUGGAUAUUAAGGCAAAUGCUUACUAUUGCUAUUUUACUAGACAUUUUUAAACUAGAAAUGAAUAUUAAAAUAUUUUUAAGACUUUUUUUGUCAUUUGUUGGAAUUAUUUUCCCUGUUUUUUUGACUUGUUACUUUAGGGAUUGAAUUUAGAAUAUCUUGACACUUAAAUGCAUUUUCUGAACAAAUUUUUUUAUAGUAUUUUGUGUUAUUACAAGAUUCUUACUGAUUUAGUAAUAUUGAAGAUUUUGUAUUUAUAUUAAUAUGAAAAAAUUAAUCUUUCUGGGUGUUCAGCCUUUGGCAUUGUUUUAUGCUGGAUUCUUGCCCAAUUUGCAAACCAUUCCAUCUUUUUCAGUGCUCUAGAAGGUGAGAAGUUUGAAAUAAUUCAUCUGAGAGUGGGUUUUGAAGUGGUAGUCCUUA